GGACCAUCAGGCCAGACAAGAGGAAGUUAGCUUUGUUAUAUGAUAAUCCCAAUAUCGGGUGGAAGAGCUUCAAGCGGCAAAUGCAUAGUAUACGAGCACAUAGUGAUUCAAAAGGAAUUGAGAUUAAAAGACCAAAUGACUCGAUAUAUACAUUCCCUUGCCCAGAUUGCAUGUGUCGGAGUAACAGGACUGAGGAUUCUAAAUCCUCCUCAGUAACGUGACCUAUGUGUUUGUCAAUAGGUGGUGUUCUUAUUCUUGUAGUACGCAUGAACUUUCGC
RNAcentral lists this unclassified non-coding RNA (278 nucleotides) under Hevea brasiliensis (rubber tree). The record is from RNAcentral. Lineage: Eukaryota; Viridiplantae; Streptophyta; Magnoliopsida; Malpighiales; Euphorbiaceae.